This 1313-nucleotide long non-coding RNA is filed under the name Struthio camelus australis. RNAcentral describes it as "lncRNA (ENSSCUG00000008842.1)". Lineage: Eukaryota; Metazoa; Chordata; Aves; Struthioniformes; Struthionidae. The record is from RNAcentral.
AUGGCAGAGAACUGGGGCCUUGCUGGUUUGUACCUUCCUCCCAUGGCAAUCACUGAACACUCCUACUGCGUAUUUCUGCAUCCCUCAAGAAGUCCUGCAAAAACACAAGGGGAAACACGAUUUGACAAUCCUAAUUCUUCACCGAAGGGAAAACAGAUUUCUCAGUGGGCAGAAACCCAGCAGAACACCCAGACUGUGUAUCAAUCAGCAGAGCUCCCUUGUUCAUUCUGGGCAAGCAAAAGGAUUCUUUCAUGUCUGAAGAGCCAUAGCAGCCUAAAAUUUUGGCUGAGUGGAUGAGUGGAACACAGAAACAACGAAUAGUAGCGCUGGCUCGUGGCCUUUUUUUCUUCUUUACUUCGCACAGGCUCUCCUCUCUGCUUUUAUGCUUUCCUUUGGAUUGUGGCGUCCGUGACCUUCAUGUUUUCUUUGCAUAGCUAUUUAUUCCUAUUGGGAAGAAAAGACUGUUUUUGCAAAUAUUUCUUCCUGCUCUAGCCGGGGUAAUCUGGGACCUAAACUGUGUUUAGGUCCAAAGGCACCAAAGGCAUGUGGAGUCUUGUCUAUUUAGUCAGGCCAAAAGGCGAACUAGAAGAUAAGAAGGCAUUUCUCUAACACACCAGGGAUUUCCAGUCACUGGCAGAGGUGGCAGAAUUAACAGGAAAUCAGCAGAAGCAGUCAUUGAUACAAGGACAAUCACACUGUCGGUGUGCAGCUGGUAGCUGACUCAUAAUGCUUAGCAGGCAUAAGAAGUCCUGCCUCCUUGCAUGCCUUGUAUCAGUAGAAACAUACCAACUGAAGGAUAUUUCACUUGGCAAACUGGCAUAACUUCACCAGGAAAAACGCAGGCUUUUGUUGACAGGACUCAGCAUUGAGCAUGGAGGAAAUCAAGUGCAGGCCAACGUGAGGGUGAGCUAAACAGGAUGCUGGCAGAAUGACCAAAUCACACCAAGCAACACAAUCAUCAUGAUCAUUGCAAUUUCCAAGAUCUUAAAUUUCAACCCCAAAUUUGAGUAAGAUUUGGAACGUUCAGAAAAACACAUCUACAACCAGUGUUCUUUUCCCCUGACAGAUUUCCCCUGAUGCAUAUAAUGGAGACCUUCAAAAACCUGUUUGAAUGAAACAUAUUAGGCAACCUAAAAAUAGGGGUUGAUUCCAAGUGCUGUAAAAUGAACUGUUUCACCUGUGUUUGUAAUAAGCUACAAGUGAUGUGAAACAAGGAGCUUAUUUAAUAGCAUGUAGCAGAUGGUCUGUGCAAAGUUGAAUAUGACAGGAAGAUUCUUGUCCAAAUUGGAGGUGAGACUGUUGUGUUUUUUUUC